AGCGAACGCUGGCGGCAGGCUUAACACAUGCAAGUCGAGCGGGCACUUCGGUGUCAGCGGCAGACGGGUGAGUAACACGUGGGAACGUACCCUUCGGUUCGGAAUAACGCUGGGAAACUAGCGCUAAUACCGGAUACGCCCUUUUGGGGAAAGGUUUACUGCCGAAGGAUCGGCCGCGUCUGAUUAGCUAGUUGGUGGGGUAAUGGCCUACCAAGGCGACGAUCAGUAGCUGGUCUGAGAGGAUGAUCAGCCACACUGGGACUGAGACACGGCCCAGACUCCUACGGGAGGCAGCAGUGGGGAAUAUUGGACAAUGGGCGCAAGCCUGAUCCAGCCAUGCCGCGUGAGUGAUGAAGGCCUUAGGGUUGUAAAGCUCCUUUGUCCGGGACGAUAAUGACGGUACCGGAAGAAUAAGCCCCGGCUAACUUCGUG
This 432-nucleotide ribosomal RNA is filed under the name uncultured bacterium. Its description in RNAcentral is "partial 16S ribosomal RNA". It matches the Rfam family "Bacterial small subunit ribosomal RNA", at positions 29 to 507 of the family's 1533-position model. The record is from RNAcentral.